AAAGGCACUCCAGUUUUGCAGCAGAGACCCACGACAGACUAUGACCAGCUAGUGAGCCAGGUCGAUGAUAUCUGCACAUCCUUCUUGUCUGAAGAAUUUCCAUUCAGGACGCGUAAGAUGUUGGGAGAGGUGUGUGUCUUGAUGCUGGGGGCCCUACAGAAUGCUCAGGUGAUACAGGAUUUGACACCAAGAGAUAACAGUAAAAGGCUUCCUGUGCCGCAUCCGCUUCUAGAGCUGGUUUCUACGAUGCUCUCUAAGAAGGAAGUGAGAAGAGCCUCGGUGCACGAUGAUAUGAAGGGACCAGGAGGAAUACAGAGCAGAGGAUACUUUCUUUAUCGGCCGAGAAAUGGAAGAAGAUCCGCAGAAUAUGUGUAAAUAAAGACUAAAAGUUGUCGCCAGUUGGACCCACUGCACAGACCUGACCUGGGAUCCUGAGGGUGUCAUGGCCUACCUACCCUGCAGCUCUCCUAACCUCCUCCAUACCCUCCAUGACCACUGUAUCGUGCUGUUGAAUGUACUCAAGAGAAUCCAAAUAAACUUCUU
Molecule: long non-coding RNA, 543 nt
Organism: Sardina pilchardus (European sardine)
Lineage: Eukaryota; Metazoa; Chordata; Actinopteri; Clupeiformes; Clupeidae
Exons: 8
Source: RefSeq, a predicted model, not a curated record